Molecule: ribosomal RNA, 438 nt
Filed under: uncultured bacterium
Lineage: Bacteria
Description: bacterial SSU rRNA
Rfam family: Bacterial small subunit ribosomal RNA
Source: RNAcentral
GCAGAACGCGAAGAACCUUACCUACCCUUGACAUGUACGGAAUUCCGCAGAGAUGUGGAAGUGCCCGAAAGGGAACCGUAACACAGGUGCUGCAUGGCUGUCGUCAGCUCGUGUCGUGAGAUGUUGGGUUAAGUCCCGCAACGAGCGCAACCCUUGCCAUUAGUUGCUACAUUCAGUUGGGCACUCUAAUGGGACCGCCGGUGACAAACCGGAGGAAGGUGGGGAUGACGUCAAGUCCUCAUGGCCCUUAUGGGUAGGGCUUCACACGUAAUACAAUGGUCGGUACAGAGGGCUGCCAACCCGCAAGGGGGAGCUAAUCCCAGAAAGCCGAUCGUAGUCCGGAUUGUAGUCUGCAACUCGACUGCAUGAAGCCGGAAUCGCUAGUAAUCGCGGAUCAGCAUGUCGUGGUGAAUACGUUCCCGGGUCUUGUACACACCG